CGGGCCGGCCGCGAACGGGAGAGGGGGGCGGUCGGGCCGCUCAGAAAGGUCCCUGCGGCAGAACAGAAACGUCUCAGUGACCUGAAUUAAUCUAAUGAGACUCUACUUGGCUUAAAUAUUAGUUUAGGGCAGCUUUUUUAAGCAUGUGAGGAAGAUAGCAAAGGUUAUUUAAGCAGAGAAGAUGUUGAAGUUGCUCUAUAGUAAGGUUUUUUUGUUAGAAACCCUCAAAGGUAUUUAUUUCAGAAGAAAAUAAUCACACCCCUACUUUUCCUGCUGC
Molecule: long non-coding RNA, 277 nt
Organism: Empidonax traillii (willow flycatcher)
Lineage: Eukaryota; Metazoa; Chordata; Aves; Passeriformes; Tyrannidae
Exons: 3
Source: RefSeq, a predicted model, not a curated record